AGUGGACGCUGGCGGUAGGCCUAACACAUGCGAGUCGAACGGCAGCACAGUAAGAGCUUGCUCUUACGGGUGGCGAGUGGCGGACGGGUGAGGAAUACAUCGGAAUCUACUUUUUCGUGGGGGAUAACGUAGGGAAACUUACGCUAAUACCGCAUACGACCUACGGGUGAAAGCAGGGGAUCUUCGGACCUUGCGCGAUUGAAUGAGCCGAUGUCGGAUUAGCUAGUUGGCGGGGUAAAGGCCCACCAAGGCGACGAUCCGUAGCUGGUCUGAGAGGAUGAUCAGCCACACUGGAACUGAGACACGGUCCAGACUCCUACGGGAGGCAGCAGUGGGGAAUAUUGGACAAUGGGCGCAAGCCUGAUCCAGCCAUACCGCGUGGGUGAAGAAGGCCUUCGGGUUGUAAAGCCCUUUUGUUGGGAAAGAAAAGCAGCAGGUUAAUACCCCGCUGUUCUGACGGUACCCAAAGAAUAAGCACCGGCUAACUUCGUG
Molecule: ribosomal RNA, 492 nt
Filed under: uncultured bacterium
Lineage: Bacteria
Description: partial 16S ribosomal RNA
Rfam family: Bacterial small subunit ribosomal RNA
Source: RNAcentral